RNAcentral lists this ribosomal RNA (2608 nucleotides) under Bacillus toyonensis. RNAcentral describes it as "bacterial LSU rRNA". The stretch from base 1 to 2015 matches the Rfam family "Bacterial large subunit ribosomal RNA". The record is from RNAcentral. Lineage: Bacteria; Bacillati; Bacillota; Bacilli; Caryophanales; Bacillaceae.
UUAAGUUAGAAAGGGCGCACGGUGGAUGCCUUGACACUAGGAGUCGAUGAAGGACGGGACUAACGCCGAUAUGCUUCGGGGAGCUGUAAGUAAGCUUUGAUCCGAAGAUUUCCGAAUGGGGAAACCCACUAUACGUAAUGGUAUGGUAUCCUUACCUGAAUACAUAGGGUAUGGAAGACAGACCCAGGGAACUGAAACAUCUAAGUACCUGGAGGAAGAGAAAGCAAAUGCGAUUUCCUGAGUAGCGGCGAGCGAAACGGAAUCUAGCCCAAACCAAGAGGCUUGCCUCUUGGGGUUGUAGGACAUUCUAUACGGAGUUACAAAGGAACGAGGUAGACGAAGCGACCUGGAAAGGUCCGUCGUAGAGGGUAACAACCCCGUAGUCGAAACUUCGUUCUCUCUUGAAUGUAUCCUGAGUACGGCGGAACACGUGAAAUUCCGUCGGAAUCUGGGAGGACCAUCUCCCAAGGCUAAAUACUCCCUAGUGAUCGAUAGUGAACCAGUACCGUGAGGGAAAGGUGAAAAGCACCCCGGAAGGGGAGUGAAAGAGAUCCUGAAACCGUGUGCCUACAAAUAGUCAGAGCCCGUUAAUGGGUGAUGGCGUGCCUUUUGUAGAAUGAACCGGCGAGUUACGAUCCCGUGCGAGGUUAAGUUGAAGAGACGGAGCCGCAGCGAAAGCGAGUCUGAAUAGGGCGUUUAGUACGUGGUCGUAGACCCGAAACCAGGUGAUCUACCCAUGUCCAGGGUGAAGUUCAGGUAACACUGAAUGGAGGCCCGAACCCACGCACGUUGAAAAGUGCGGGGAUGAGGUGUGGGUAGCGGAGANAGAGCACUGAUUGAACUAGGGGUCCUCAUCGGAUUACCGAAUUCAGUCAAACUCCGAAUGCCAAUGACUUAUCCUUAGGAGUCAGACUGCGAGUGAUAAGAUCCGUAGUCAAGAGGGAAACAGCCCAGAUCGCCAGCUAAGGUCCCAAAGUGUGUAUUAAGUGGAAAAGGAUGUGGAGUUGCUUAGACAACUAGGAUGUUGGCUUAGAAGCAGCCACCAUUUAAAGAGUGCGUAAUAGCUCACUAGUCGAGUGACUCUGCGCCGAAAAUGUACCGGGGCUAAAUACACCACCGAAGCUGCGAAUUGAUACCAAUGGUAUCAGUGGUAGGGGAGCGUUCUAAGUGCAGUGAAGUCAGACCGGAAGGACUGGUGGAGCGCUUAGAAGUGAGAAUGCCGGUAUGAGUAGCGAAAGACGGGUGAGAAUCCCGUCCACCGAAUGCCUAAGGUUUCCUGAGGAAGGCUCGUCCGCUCAGGGUUAGUCAGGACCUAAGCCGAGGCCGACAGGCGUAGGCGAUGGACAACAGGUUGAUAUUCCUGUACCACCUCUUUAUCGUUUGAGCAAUGGAGGGACGCAGAAGGAUAGAAGAAGCGUGCGAUUGGUUGUGCACGUCCAAGCAGUUAGGCUGAUAAGUAGGCAAAUCCGCUUAUCGUGAAGGCUGAGCUGUGAUGGGGAAGCUCCUUAUGGAGCGAAGUCUUUGAUUCCCCGCUGCCAAGAAAAGCUUCUAGCGAGAUAAAAGGUGCCUGUACCGCAAACCGACACAGGUAGGCGAGGAGAGAAUCCUAAGGUGUGCGAGAGAACUCUGGUUAAGGAACUCGGCAAAAUGACCCCGUAACUUCGGGAGAAGGGGUGCUUUCUUAACGGAAAGCCGCAGUGAAUAGGCCCAAGCGACUGUUUAGCAAAAACACAGGUCUCUGCGAAGCCGUAAGGCGAAGUAUAGGGGCUGACACCUGCCCGGUGCUGGAAGGUUAAGGAGAGGGGUUAGCGUAAGCGAAGCUCUGAACUGAAGCCCCAGUAAACGGCGGCCGUAACUAUAACGGUCCUAAGGUAGCGAAAUUCCUUGUCGGGUAAGUUCCGACCCGCACGAAAGGNNNNNNNNNNNNNNNNNNNNNNNNNNNNNNNNNNNNNNNNNNNNNNNNNNGUGAGAAGUGCGGCGAAUACAAGUAGCUCGGUUCUAGGAAACUUAAAAAAUGGUGAAAAAGUAACAGUACUAGGAAAAGUAAAUGGCUGGGCGAAAAUCAAUUACCAAGGAAAAGAAGGGUAUGUGUCGUUAGAGUUUAUAACGAUUGGUAAAGAUUCCAUAGAUCCAACAAACCCAACAAACCCUGGACAGGUAACAGAAGAACGAGCAGUUGUAAAUGCGUCUUUAUUAAAUGUACGUAAAGGUCCAUCAACAGGUGCGGCAGCUGUCGGUCAUUUGAAAAAUGGAGAGACUGUUACGAUCAUAGGAAAAGAAAAUGGCUGGGCAAAAAUCCGUUUUAAUGGCGGAGAGGGGUAUGUUUCGUUACAGUUCUUAAAAGUUAAACAAGGUUCGUCUUCUUAUGAAAUUGUUACCUCAUCACAAAAGGUUCAAAAACCAAAUGAAGCGGAAGCAACACAAAUUAUGCAGAAUAUGAAAGAAGAUGCUUACAUUAAAAGUGACGGUAAAGUUGUAAAUAUGAAGCAAGGUUUCGUUCGUGCAAAUGGUGUUAUUAAUAUUUAUGAUAUUACGACGGGUAAAAAGCUCACAUAUGUAAAGGGUGGAGCUGACCUGAAAUUUGUAAAAGCUGUUGAUGAUCGUAUUC